Molecule: long non-coding RNA, 1833 nt
Organism: Diachasma alloeum
Lineage: Eukaryota; Metazoa; Arthropoda; Insecta; Hymenoptera; Braconidae
Exons: 5
Source: RefSeq, a predicted model, not a curated record
UUUUCAUAAAUUUUAACUUUGAAAUUUUUCAUUAAAUUUUCUUCUUCACUUUUUCUACUAAAAGAUCAUCCGCACAAGUGUCAGCAAUCCAGUAAUUCUAUUCAUAUCUCAAAAUCUGGAAUAGACAAUAAUGCAAGUUGAAGACUAUCGAAAAAGUGGAUAUUCUGUUUAAGUGCACCGGGAUUUUGUGGAUUAUUGAAAAAUGUUUGUUAAUCAAGAGCUCUCGCUCGAUCAUGUCAAGUGCAAUCACUACCCAAGGAGGGUGAAGAGGUUACGAAGUCGUUAAAUAGAGACCUGGAGUGAUACAUAAUAUUAAAGAGUAUUCGAGAAAGUAAUAAACUUUGGUGAACAAAGUUACGGCCAAAGAAUUAGAAGAAACCAUGAUUUUCAAACUUCCUCAAUUUUUCUCGUUCCACUUUGAUUCCAUAGAACGUCGAAAUCACAGUUUCCUCCUUCUCCAUGAUUGAAGUCUUAAAAAAGAUUGGUAUUGAAUUGGUCAUAAAAAUGCCAAUGCAAGGCUUCAUAAGAAGUUAUUGAUUAAGAGACGACACUAAAAUAUUGAGGCAAUGUUAACAACUAUGUCAUCAGCAGCAAUUGAGCUGAAUUCAUCAUAUUACACCGCUAUAAUAGAUGGGAGCAGUACUCUAGAUGGAUUCUCAGUUUCAGUGAUUGAUCCCGUGAAUGAGACGUCCAGCCCGUAUAUGCUUCCAACAUACAUUCGUGUGACGUCUAUGGUGAUAGUAAUUGUCGUCAUGGUGCUGGGUAUAAUCGGCAAUCUCAUGGUACCUCUGGUUGUACUGCGCGGGAAGGAUAUGCGAAAUAGCACAAACAUCUUCUUGGUGAAUCUAAGUGCCGCUGAUCUCUGUGUUCUGCUCGUUUGUGCCCCCACUGUCCUUGUUGAGGUCAACUCUGGUCCUCAGGUCUGGCCUCUUGGGGAACAUAUGUAAAAUUUAAGGGACCCUUUCAACUUCACUGUGGGAGGAUCUGAGUAACAAAAUAGCAUAAUAAUAGUUGAUGCGUUCUAUGCUAUGUCGAUAAAAAAUAAUCACAUUUUCCUUCUCUUAUUCUUAUUAUGAUUAUUCAAAAUGUCGAGAUUACGAGAACCAUUUUUUAAAAUAAUCUAUAAUCCAGAAAAUAUGCUCCGAAAAAAUCGAAACAAUCUUUUUUUUGUGGAAAGAGAAUAAUGUGUUUUCAACGGGAAAAUUUGAUGCCAGAAAGUGAAUGUUUAGGAAUUGAAGGUAUUGUGGGAAAAUUCAAUUCACUAACAAAUCCGAUUUAGUAAACUAUAUAAUCGCAGUAUAUUUGAAGGACGUUGGAAAAAUGUAUAAAAGUGAAGAUGGAAGUGAUCCGGUAUGAGGUUCGUAACCGGCUGUGUGUCUAAGGUAUGUCUGGAUUCGCAAGACAACCGAAUCUCGUAAAUGGAAUAAAUCAGAAGUAUACGUGACACAAUGAGUGCCAGUGAGACGGCGCUACGAGUUUCGUGCUCCCGUUAACAUCUUCACCUGGUGACGGUGGUCAGCGCGUAUGUGGAUGAGUGUAUGUAGCGAGUCCCUACAAAUGUUCAUUUCAUUUAUAUACAGUUCAAGUUGUUCAAAAGAAUACUCAUCGCCAGACAUUUUUUUAUAUUCUGCAAAAAUACACGAUGUAGCAUAUAUAUAAUUAAACCUUCAAACAAAUUUUUAGAAACUGGUCACUCAUAGUUAUCGAACUAUAAUUUUUUUCAAAAACAAAGUCGUAAUUUAUAACUAAAAACUUGACAAAUAAUUUGAGUAUUGUAUGAAAAAAGUGUAGGGAUAGUUUUUCGCCAGGAAGAGGUGACUGUUCAUGAGCAAA